RNAcentral lists this ribosomal RNA (410 nucleotides) under uncultured bacterium. Its description in RNAcentral is "bacterial SSU rRNA". It matches the Rfam family "Bacterial small subunit ribosomal RNA", at positions 8 to 422 of the family's 1533-position model. The record is from RNAcentral.
AGAGUUUGAUCCUGGCUCAGAUUGAACGCUGGCGGCAUGCCUUACACAUGCAAGUCGAACGGCAGCGCGGGGCAACCUGGCGGCGAGUGGCGAACGGGUGAGUAAUAUAUCGGAACGUGCCCUGGAGUGGGGGAUAACGCAGCGAAAGUUGCGCUAAUACCGCAUACGAUCUAAGGAUGAAAGCAGGGGACCGCAAGGCCUUGUGCUCCUGGAGCGGCCGAUAUCUGAUUAGCUAGUUGGUGGGGUAAAGGCCUACCAAGGCAUCGAUCAGUAGCUGGUCUGAGAGGACGACCAGCCACACUGGAACUGAGACACGGUCCAGACUCCUACGGGAGGCAGCAGUGGGGAAUUUUGGACAAUGGGCGAAAGCCUGAUCCAGCAAUGCCGCGUGAGUGAAGAAGGCCUUCGGG